AGGGGGAAUAGCAGGUUAUGCGUCUCCAUGAGAGAUUACUACUGUUACAUGCUGCAGACACGACCUGGGAUAUUCAAUCCCAUACUCUGUGGACCACGAUUGCUCCAGCAAUGGGGGGACAUGUACAUCAAGAUUGAGAGUUGUAGGUUGAAAUGGUAUAAGAAGAACUAGACAAAGAUCUGUGUCGAACUGUAUAAAGGAGUUGUUGAUGCAAUUACAUCCGGGGAGACCCGGGCAAGCGCUGUUGGAGUAAGGAUAGUGCUCCCUGGAACAUACCCAGGUGGCGACCGCGACAUGAAGCGGAGGCAUAUGGAUGCCAUUGUAACACCCCGAGAAUCAUGCUACAGUAAUCCCCCUCUAAUGAUGCCUUGUCAUCAUUGUUACUGUUGCUAA
This 393-nucleotide ribosomal RNA is filed under the name Triticum aestivum (bread wheat). Its description in RNAcentral is "partial small subunit ribosomal RNA". The record is from RNAcentral. Lineage: Eukaryota; Viridiplantae; Streptophyta; Magnoliopsida; Poales; Poaceae.